CAGCCGCCGCGGUAAUACGUAGGGUGCGAGCGUUGAUCGGAUUUACUGGGCGUAAAGCGUGCGCAGGCGGCCCGUUAAGACAGGUGUGAAAUCCCUGGGCUCAACCUAGGAAUUGCGCUUGUGACUGGCGGGCUCGAGUACGGUAGAGGGGGGUGGAAUUCCUGGUGUAGCAGUGAAAUGCGUAGAGAUCAGGAGGAACACCGAUGGCGAAGGCAGCCCCCUGGGCCUGUACUGACGCUCAUGCACGAAAGCGUGGGGAGCAAACAGGAUUAGAUACCCUGGUAGUCCACGCCCUAAACGAUGGGUACUAGCCGUUUGGUGCGCGAUAGCGCUGAGUGGCGAAGCUAACGCGUGAAGUACCCCGCCUGGGGAGUACGGCCGCAAGGUUGAAACUUAAAGGAAUUGGCGGG
This 410-nucleotide ribosomal RNA is filed under the name uncultured microorganism. RNAcentral's name for it is "bacterial SSU rRNA". It matches the Rfam family "Bacterial small subunit ribosomal RNA", at positions 509 to 917 of the family's 1533-position model. The record is from RNAcentral.